This 474-nucleotide ribosomal RNA is filed under the name Flexibacter sp. MED28. RNAcentral describes it as "bacterial SSU rRNA". It matches the Rfam family "Bacterial small subunit ribosomal RNA", at positions 43 to 509 of the family's 1533-position model. The record is from RNAcentral. Lineage: Bacteria; Pseudomonadati; Bacteroidota; Cytophagia; Cytophagales; Flexibacteraceae.
CAGGCUUAACACAUGCAAGUCGAGGGGUAACAGGAGGAAGCUUGCUUCUUGCUGACGACCGGCGAACGGGUGCGUAACGCGUAUAGAAUCUNCCUUGUACAGGAGGAUAGCCUUUAGAAAUGAAGAUUAAUACUCCAUAGUGUAUAGAAGUGGCAUCACUUUUUUACUAAAGAUUUAUUGGUACAAGAUGACUAUGCGUCCUAUUAGCUAGAUGGUAAGGUAACGGCUUACCAUGGCUACGAUAGGUAGGGGGUCUGAGAGGACUAUCCCCCACACUGGUACUGAGACACGGACCAGACUCCUACGGGAGGCAGCAGUGAGGAAUAUUGGUCAAUGGAGGCAACUCUGAACCAGCCAUGCCGCGUGCAGGAAGACUGCCCUAUGGGUUGUAAACUGCUUUUAUACGGGAAGAAACAGCUCUACGAGUAGAGCCUUGACGGUACCGUAAGAAUAAGCACCGGCUAACUCCGUGCC